This 253-nucleotide ribosomal RNA is filed under the name uncultured bacterium. RNAcentral's name for it is "partial 16S ribosomal RNA". It matches the Rfam family "Bacterial small subunit ribosomal RNA", at positions 524 to 776 of the family's 1533-position model. The record is from RNAcentral.
UACAGAGGGGGCAAGCGUUGUUCGGAAUUACUGGGCGUAAAGGGCGCGUAGGCGGCCCGCUAAGUCGAACGUGAAAUCCCCAGGCUCAACCUGGGAACUGCAUCCGAUACUGGAUGGCUUGAAUUCGGGAGAGGGAUGCAGAAUUCCAGGUGUAGCGGUGAAAUGCGUAGAUAUCUGGAGGAAUACCGGUGGCGAAGGCGGCAUCCUGGACCGACAUUGACGCUGAAGGGCGAAAGCUAGGGGAGCAAACGGG